UAGAGUGGGGGAAGGUACUGC
Molecule: microRNA, 21 nt
Filed under: Monodelphis domestica (gray short-tailed opossum)
Lineage: Eukaryota; Metazoa; Chordata; Mammalia; Didelphimorphia; Didelphidae
Description: mdo-miR-7375e-3p
Source: miRBase by way of RNAcentral